This 379-nucleotide ribosomal RNA is filed under the name uncultured bacterium. RNAcentral's name for it is "bacterial SSU rRNA". It matches the Rfam family "Bacterial small subunit ribosomal RNA", at positions 56 to 439 of the family's 1533-position model. The record is from RNAcentral.
UGCAGUCGAUUCGAUUUACCUUCGGGUAUUGAGGAUGGCGGACGGGUGAGUAACGCGUAAGGAACUUGCCUCUUGGACUGGGACAACUGUUGGAAACGACAGCUAAUACCGGAUAUUAUGAGAUUCUCGCAUGAGAAACUUAUGAAAGCUAUAUGCGCCAAGAGAGAGCCUUGCGUUCCAUUAGCUAGUUGGUGGGGUAAUGGCCCGCCAAGGCGACGAUGGAUAGCCGGCCUGAAAGGGUGAACGGCCACAAGGGGACUGAGACACGGCCCUUACUCCUACGGGAGGCAGCAGUGGGGAAUAUUGGACAAUGGGCCACAAGCCUGAUCCGGCAUUCUGUGUGCACGAUGAAGGUCUUCGGAUUGUAAAGUGCUUUCAG